RNAcentral lists this ribosomal RNA (443 nucleotides) under uncultured bacterium. RNAcentral describes it as "partial 16S ribosomal RNA". It matches the Rfam family "Bacterial small subunit ribosomal RNA", at positions 354 to 796 of the family's 1533-position model. The record is from RNAcentral.
GUAGGGAAUAUUGGGCAAUGGUCGGAAGACUGACCCAGCCAUGCCGCGUGCAGGAAGACGGCCCUCUGGGUUGUAAACUGCUUUUAUCUGGGAAGAAAAGGCCAUGCGUGGCAAAUUGCCGGUACCAAAUGAAUAAGCACCGGCUAACUCCGUGCCAGCAGCCGCGGUAAUACGGAGGGUGCGAGCGUUGUCCGGAUUUAUUGGGUUUAAAGGGUGCGUAGGCGGCUGAUUAAGUCAGCGGUGAAAGACUUCGGCUUAACCGGAGCAGUGCCGUUGAUACUGGUUGGCUUGAGUGUCGGAGGGGUACAUGGAAUUGAUGGUGUAGCGGUGAAAUGCAUAGAUACCAUCAGGAACACCGAUAGCGAAGGCAUUGUACUGGCCGACAACUGACGCUGAUGCACGAAAGUGUGGGGAUCGAACAGGAUUAGAAACCCCUGUAGUCC